CACACCGCCCGUCGCUACUACCGAUUGAAUGAUUUAGUGAGGCCUUCGGACCGGCGCUCUUGGAUGUUCUACCCCUCCCCCCGCAAGGGUGCUUGGGGGGGUUCUCGCCUGGAGCUGACGGAAAGAUGUCCAAACUUGAUCAUUUAGAGGAAGUAAAAGUCGUAACAAGGUUUCCGUAGGUGAACCUGCGGAAGGAUCAUUA
Molecule: ribosomal RNA, 202 nt
Filed under: Anguilla japonica (Japanese eel)
Lineage: Eukaryota; Metazoa; Chordata; Actinopteri; Anguilliformes; Anguillidae
Description: partial 18S ribosomal RNA
Rfam family: Eukaryotic small subunit ribosomal RNA
Source: RNAcentral